CUAUCCUAUUACUGGCGGCUUUGCAGUGGAGAUUGCUAGCUCUGCGGAGACCUUCAAAAAAUCCGCUGCUAGCCAACGCACAUCCCAGAGUCAAUGCCAAAACCAACAUUAUGGCCAUACGGCUUUUUCGCCAUGCAACCUUCAAUAUGUCGAUGCACACUGUCAGCUAGCACUCUCAUUGCGUCAUGGAAGAUCCUGCUCUUGUGACGCUACUCAAGCGCCGGCUGACGGCAGCUUAUACUGGGCAGUGUUUGUGGUAUUUGAUGACGGAGUGGAAUGGGUAUUUCGAUCCCCUCAGCGUGAUGAGAUCACUCGGACUCAAUUGAAAGUGUAUCAUAAUUAGACACUUAAGUCUCUAAAUACAACAAUGCAUUUAAGUAUAAGAACCAAGAACU
Molecule: small RNA, 395 nt
Filed under: Histoplasma capsulatum
Lineage: Eukaryota; Fungi; Ascomycota; Eurotiomycetes; Onygenales; Ajellomycetaceae
Also listed under: 1 other name
Description: hypothetical RNA
Source: RNAcentral